AUAAAUAAUUAAAACUGUUUUCUUUAUGCGAAUGGCAAGAUUGCAGAAUCCACAUGAAUCAAAUCAUAUCUCGUAUCUUCUUUCUUUUCAAUAGCAAGUAGGAAUUCACUGAAAUACUCAUGUCAAAACUAGGCGAUGAUGAGCUAGCCUCAAUUCUCAACUGGGUCUAUGAUCCAAACGACAGAAAAUCAUGUUCUGUUGUUUGUAAGCAGUGGCUUAGAGUCGAGGGCCAAACCCGUUUAUCCAUUCGAGUUCUUGAACCUGAUCUCCUCUGCAAUUUCUUGCCCAGGUUUCCAAAUUUGGUCACUUUUGAAUCACCGAAACGUUUCUCCAAUACCGAACUUGAAUUCGUCGCCAAAACGUGUCCAAGGCUCGAGUUUCUUAAUCUUAACCUCAGACAAUCUCGCAAUUUGGAUGGGUUUGAUGAGUCAGAAGAUUCUAAUGAUGUCAGUGAUAAUGGUAUUUGUGCUAUAGCAAAUGAGUGCUGCAAAUUAACCAAAGUCUCGUUAAGAAGGAGAAAGAAUGUUGGAAAUGUUGGGGUUAUUGAUCUUGUUAAUUGUGCACAAAAUUUGUCUACUUUGGAUUUGGGGAGGUGUGGUUUGAUCGAUGAUAGCUCUCUUGAAGCAAUUGGGAGUAUGAAUUGUAUUGGGGUUUUGAAUUUUGAAGCUUGUUCAUUAAUUACAGAUCGUGGAUUGGAAUUUCUGGCAACUGGGUCUUCUUCAAGGACCUUGAAAAGGUUACUUGUUGCAGAAUGUGAUAGAAUCACUGAUUUUGGUGUGUCAAUAUUGCAGAAAAUGUGUUGCUUGGAAGAUCUGAAUUUAGCUGAAUGCGGACCUAAAGUGACGGAUUAUGGAGGUUUGGCAAUUGCCUCAAUUUCAAAUCUUAAAAGAUUGAACAUUUCUUGGUUGAUCAAUGUGUCAGACAUUGCACUAGUUGCAAUAGCUGAGAAUUGUAGGAAUUUGGUGGCACUUGAUUUAACAGGAUGUGAAAUGAUUACAGGAGCUGGCCUUUGUUCUUUUGCUAGUCAUAAAUGUUUGGAAAAACUAGUUUUCGCUUCUUGUUACACUAUUUCUGGGGACUCUGUGGUCAGGUUAUUAACGUGCAAGUCACUGUGCUACAUUGUGCUUGAUAAAAGAUUGAAAAUGUGGAUGCCUAAUACAAUUCAACAAAAGAUUGGCAGAUCCUGUCAGUUACAUUGGAGAUGAUUCAAGGGCCAAAAAUGUUUAUUUGAGAGGUAGUCGUGCGGGGAAACUCAAAGCUGAACUGGAUGGGAUUGGGAUGACAGAUGAGGUCCGAGGGGUGUAUUGUUGAUUAAGGCGGAAAUGCAACAUUGGAGCUGUGGUUGAUAAGAAAAAUAACACUAUAUUGAAUAUAUUUAUUAAAGGUUAUUAAAGUUUGUUUUUCAGGUUAUCAACUAUGGACAAAAAUAAUCAACAAGAACGUCUAGUUUGAGCUUUUUUUUUUUCAUUACUACGCUGUCUUUACUUACAUUAGGAUAAAGGAAUUUAUUCAUGGAGACUGAAGAGACCCAGUAUUACUUUUAAUGGUUCUUCUCAGCCAAUAAUGCCCUAAUAAGCACUACCUGUAUUAGUUUUGGAUCCUGCUCUAGAAGUAAGAAUUUUAAAGGUUCCCAUUGCAAUAAGAAUUUUGAUCAAUUGUUAUAUUUUUUUAACUGUUUAUUUUCUCAUAUUUUAUUGAAAUGAAAUGGCUCUCAAUAUUCAAA
Jatropha curcas is the source of this 1723-nucleotide RNA transcript. It is a transcript of the gene named F-box protein SKIP2, with no coding region annotated. Lineage: Eukaryota; Viridiplantae; Streptophyta; Magnoliopsida; Malpighiales; Euphorbiaceae. The record is from RefSeq and is a predicted model, not a curated record.